GGAUAGCAUGCUGCAGCGCUGUGAUCUGCUCCUGCACAUUUUAAACGAGAGAGGAAUUAAAAACGCUAAUUAAAGUCAUCAUAACUUCUCACAAAGCGUCGACAAUGUUGCUGGACAGUGAUUGGGGACACCUAUAAAGCUAGGUGUUAGUUCAGGUAAAAUGGCAACACUGAAGACAUACCUGACUGGCAAAGAUGGAGCGGAUUAUCCUCUUGUGCGUGGUUUCCACCUGUCUCUCUGCCAUACAUGCUCAGAAAUUCUUGUUCAGCCCAAAAUGGGGCCCGAUUGGCUAUAA
Molecule: long non-coding RNA, 295 nt
Organism: Larimichthys crocea (large yellow croaker)
Lineage: Eukaryota; Metazoa; Chordata; Actinopteri; Sciaenidae
Exons: 3
Source: RefSeq, a predicted model, not a curated record